Molecule: ribosomal RNA, 253 nt
Filed under: uncultured bacterium
Lineage: Bacteria
Description: partial 16S ribosomal RNA
Rfam family: Bacterial small subunit ribosomal RNA
Source: RNAcentral
UACAGGGGGGGCAAGCGUUGAUCGGAAUUACUGGGCGUAAAGGGCGCGUAGGCGGCCAACUAAGUCACACGUGAAAUCCCCAGGCUUAACCUGGGAACUGCGUGUGAUACUGGAUGGCUUGAAUUCGGGAGAGGGAUGCAGAAUUCCAGGUGUAGCGGUGAAAUGCGUAGAUAUCUGGAGGAAUACCGGUGGCGAAGGCGGCAUCCUGGACCGACAUUGACGCUGAGGCGCGAAAGCUAGGGGAGCAAACGGG